AAAAAGGGCUUCUGACAUGAAGUGGCACACGUAAGGCACCUCUCCUGCUCUAUGUGCAGAAGCAACAUCAAGAGAUUUUGGGAGCGUAAGUUUUGUUUCCAGGGCAGCUGGUUUCGUUGGUCUCCCCCCAG
Small nuclear RNA from Loxodonta africana (African savanna elephant), 131 nucleotides. Ensembl annotates it as U11 spliceosomal RNA. Lineage: Eukaryota; Metazoa; Chordata; Mammalia; Proboscidea; Elephantidae. The record is from Ensembl.